RNAcentral lists this non-coding RNA (299 nucleotides) under Paenibacillus sp. RNAcentral describes it as "T-box sequence". It matches the Rfam family "T-box leader". From Rfam's summary of the family: Uncharged tRNA acts as the effector for transcription antitermination of genes in the T-box leader family. T-boxes are found upstream of many aminoacyl-tRNA synthetase genes and some amino acid biosynthetic genes usually in Gram-positive bacteria. The record is from RNAcentral. Lineage: Bacteria; Bacillati; Bacillota; Bacilli; Caryophanales; Paenibacillaceae.
AGAACAACGUUGAACGGGAAGAGUAGGAAGGUAUGGCCUUCAGAGAGCGGAAUUGCUACCAAGCGCUGAGAGAUUCCGCAGGAACCAGCUUGCCGAAGUCGCCCCGGAGUUGCGGACUUGAGAUAGAGUAGGAUCGAUUGCUACCCUGGUUAGAGUUCGCCGGCCGCAGCCGUUAUCUGCGUAAAGUGUCGUGCUUGACCGAAAGCCUUUCAUGUUCUUCAUGGGAGGACAACGGUUGCUGAACCAUGUAAGCACGAAACAAAGGUGGUACCGCGAGAGAACAGUCUUUCGUCCUUUGA